This 459-nucleotide ribosomal RNA is filed under the name uncultured bacterium. RNAcentral's name for it is "partial 16S ribosomal RNA". It matches the Rfam family "Bacterial small subunit ribosomal RNA", at positions 338 to 795 of the family's 1533-position model. The record is from RNAcentral.
CCUACGGGUGGCAGCAGUGAGGAAUAUUGGUCAAUGGCCGGGAGGCUGAACCAGCCAAGUCGCGUGAGGGAAGACGGCCCUACGGGUUGUAAACCUCUUUUGUCAGGGAGCAAGGUGCAGGUCGGGACCUGCUGUGAGAGUACCUGAAGCAAAAGCAUCGGCUAACUCCGUGCCAGCAGACGCGGUAAAACGGAGGAUGCGAGCGUUAUCCGGAUUUAGUGGGUUUAAAGGGUGCGACGGCGGUGGCACAAGUCGGCGGUAAAACACCGGGGUUACACCCCGCUCCGCCGUUGAAACUGUGUCCCUUGAGUGCGCGAAGGGUAGGCGGAAUGCGUGGUGUAGCGGUGAAAUGCAUAGAUAUCACGCAGAACUCCGAUCGCGAAGGCAGCCUACCGGCGCGCAACUGACGCUCAUGCACGAAAGCGUGGGUAUCGAACAGGAUUAGAUACCCGGGUAGUC